GUCCUCCUCAUCGUAAUCCCAGCUAGCAAGCACGGUGGGUGGCGGACAUGCCGUUCGCUAGACGACGAGAUGGGAUAUUUGGAGGCAUCCACUCACAUCCUCCAUACGCUCCGUCCCCCCGUGGAAGAGACAAACACAAGCAGUAGUAGUGCUUGGUUUUUGCGAGGAUGAGGAAUAAAGCGACCCCGACAUGAGGCUCCAAACCCGAGCACCCAUUACCACGGUAGAAGACCGAGGCGUUGCGGACGGAAUGGCUUCUCCUUUGAGAGGGAUGGGCUGAGGAGUUCCAUCUGCCGUUUGUGAGGAGGAUUGGAGCACGGGUCGCUGUCUGCUACUGCAGGAAACUUGGUCCCUGGAGCUCCAACUCUGAAAACCUCCUCCGGUGUGAAUCCAUCGAACUGCUGCUUCUCGUUGCAGUCUUGUCUUUUCUGCUGUUGCUUCGGCUGCAAGAAUCUGUUGCUUACUGGGCUCUAAUUCUCGUCGAUCAAGCGCUCGAGAUUUGGCCAGAUUCAUCUGCUUGCCGGAGCGGGCGAAGCGGGCGAUGAUGCCUUUAUCGGCCGGCGUCGUGGUCCAGGACGACGGCUCGUCGUCGUCGGUGACUUCGUCCCCACUCGAGACCUUGUCCCUCUCUCCUCCCUCCCUCUCGCCGCACUCGCCGUGGGUCCGCGAGCUCAAGUCCGACGAGCGCGGCCUCUGUCUCAUCCACCUCCUCCUUGACUGCGCCAAUCGCGUUGCUUCCGGCGGCAGUCUCGACCCCGCCAACGCGGCCCUCGAGCAGAUCGCCCUCCUCGCCGCCCCCGACGGCGACGCCAUGCAGCGUAUCGCCUCUCACUUCGCCGAGGCCCUCGCCCGCCGCGCCAUCCGCUCGUGGCCCGGCCUCUGUCACGCCCUCGACUCCGCCCGCGUCCUGCCGCUGGCGGAGGCCGCCGUGGCCCGCCGCCAUUUCCUCGACCUCUGCCCCUUCCUCCGAUUGUCGUUCGUCGUCACCAACCAGGCCAUCAUGGAGGCCAUGGAGGGCGAGCGAGUGGUCCACGUCGUCGACCUCAACGCGUCCGAUCCCGCCCAGUGGAUCCCCCUCCUUCAGGCACUCAGCGCACGGUCCGAGGGCCCGCCGCACUUGAAGAUCACCGGCAUCCACGAGCACAAGGAGGUGCUCCACUACACGGCGAUUCGCCUAUCGGAGGCGGCCGAGCGGCUCGACGUCCCAUUCCAAUUCAUUCCCCUAGUUAGCAGGCUGGAUAACCUGGACCUCGAGAGACUGCGAGUCAAGACUGGGGAGGCAUUAGCCAUCAGUUCCGUCCUCCAAUUGCAUUCCUUGCUGGCCACCGAGGACGUCGGCGGCCACCUGCGCAAGGCCCAAAGGAUUGCACCAAUUAGUAAGCUAACGUUAGGGGAAUUUCUCGAGAAGGAUCACUUGGCCAAUACACAUAGCACGAGCGCAGAGUCAGCAGCACGGCCGCCCACGAGGAUCCAGAGUUUUCUUGCGUCGCUGUGGGGGCUGUCUCCGAAGAUCGUGGUGGUCACCGAGCAGGAGGCCAACCACAAUGGGAAGACGCUGAAGGAGAGGCUCGUGGAGGCGCUCUUUUAUUACGCUGCGGUGUUCGACAGCCUCGACUUGACUGUGCCGCGGCAGUCAGUCGAGCGUCUCAGGGUGGAGAAGAUGCUAUUCGGGGAGGAGAUCAGGAACAUUAUAGCAUGCGAAGGGUUGGAAAGGAAGGAGCGGCACGAGAAGCUGGAGAGGUGGAGUCAGAGGAUGGGCAUGGCAGGGUUCAGAUUGUUGCCAUUGAGCUACUAUGGACUGCUGCAAGCGAGGAGGUUGCUGCAGUCCUUUGGUUGGCAGGGUUAUAAAGUGAAAGAAGAGAACGGGUGCUUCAUGAUGUGCUGGCAAGAUCGGCCACUGUUCUCCGUAUCAGCUUGGAGGUGCAAUCAAGCAGAAAGUUUGAAGAAAAGAAGCACAAGUGUUGUGCCAUAGAACAGAAGCUUUUUCAGCCACGGAAGGAUAAAGCUGUGGUCAAACUGAUGAUGAUGGCUUCCUAGUGGGAAAUGAGAAGUUACAAGUAUGGAAAUUUGCAAGAACAAUUCUGCAUCCUCUACAGAAAAUAUCUUCCUAGGAUUUUUUACUUGUAACAAACAGUGUCUUCUUAUACAGGAAUAUGAAAAGUAUGAUAAAAAUAGAUUGUUGAAUUGGAGGUUAGGUACUCCAAGCAAUCUAUUUUGAGAGUUCAGAGGAUUUAGUGCUGGAGUCAUUGGGAAUUUAUGAACCUUGGUUGAAGAAAAGGUGAGUAUCAUGGCAUUGGCUUGAACCAGUGGAAACUCAUAAUCUACGGGUUUUCUCUUGGACUGUAGACCGAAGAACAACUCAAUUUCACCAUCUGUCACUGGCCACUUGACUUCAUCUAUUUGUAAGUUUACAGUUGAACCUGAAUAGAUUAAUCAUCAAUGAGCAAUUUAUAUUCACAAAAGAAAACUGGCUUUCUACUCUGACUUCAUCAAUAUGUUGUUUUCGAUUCAAUGAAAUGUGUUUUUGAAUAGCAAAAUGUAAAGAAUGAGAAGAUAAACUAUUGAUUGUAUUCCUCCAGAUUUACUUCAUUGCUUUA
Molecule: RNA transcript, 2597 nt
Organism: Musa acuminata AAA Group (dessert banana)
Lineage: Eukaryota; Viridiplantae; Streptophyta; Magnoliopsida; Zingiberales; Musaceae
Gene name: scarecrow-like protein 3
Exons: 4
Source: RefSeq, a predicted model, not a curated record